CCAAACCUGGUUAAGCAUAACCGCUGCGUAAUCACGAUUUCGGCCGAUUAUCGUCCUCAAUCUCGGUUAGUUUCUGGAGAUAUUGAUAAUGACGUUAACAAUUAUUAAAAUAUUAACAAAAUAAUAUCAUAGAACAAUAAUAAUAUUAUGUAGCAUAUUUAUUUUUUUCAUUUUGUUAAUCGUUUUCGUUUAAACUUCAAGUGUUUUGUUAAUUUGUUUUUUGGUUUCGAUUAUAAUAAUUAAUAUUUAUAUAAAAAAUGCAACGAGCUUGUAAACGUGUUCUACAGCUUUGUUUUGAAAACGAUAAAGACGAUGAAGACGAAGACGAAUUUGUAAUUUUCCCUAUCCACCAUCCUAGAUGGAUACGGGAGAGGGCCGAAUACUUCGAAAGUCUGGAUGAUCGGGAUUUCAUUACAAGGUACAGACUGAGAAAACCAACAGUAAAAAAAUAGAACAUCGUCUUGAGUAUGAAACAGACAGAUCAGUCCGUGAAGUUUGAGCUUACAAUUACAAAAUGACUUCAAAGUAUAACAGUUUUUUUUUUCGACAGUAUAUCUCCGAUUAAUCAGUUAUUAUGCACACUUCGGUUCUAUGCCAUUGGAUGCUUUCAACCCACUACAGGGGUUCUUUGUGGCUUUAGUUCCUCAACAGUAAAUAGGAUAGUGUAUAAAGUAAGCUGUACUAUUGCUUCCUUAUGUAGUCACUAGUCCUGGAACACCAGAGGAAAUAGGACAGACCCAGUUAAAUUUUUACAGAAGAGCCAAGUUUGCAAGAGUCAUCGGUGCUAUUGACUGUACCCAUGUAAAGCUGUAACAAUCACCAGGUGGAGAAUCUUAUAUAAUUAGUCACAGAUAAGGACAAUAAAUGUCUGUGGUUUACGAGUAAAUCUUAUACGUUUAUUCCCUAUCAUCACUGCAACAUCAGCAUUACAUAAUAUUGCUGGAAGAGCUGGGGAGGAAGUCCCCAGAUGAUUUGAUAUGAUACUGUCUGCUCCUUGGGAAGAAAUACUUGCCCAGGAUAACAUAGAAAUUCAAUAUGCACCAAACCCCAUUCAUCGAAGAGUAACACAGCAAAAUAGUGGACGGCAGGCAUUAAUAGAUGGUCACUUUGAGAGAUUAAUCACACAUCGACAAAUUGAUUAGUGUUAAGCAAUAUAUUUACUCAUUCUAACUAAUGUUUUUAAAAAUAAAAUAUUGUCCAACCA
Molecule: long non-coding RNA, 1204 nt
Organism: Metopolophium dirhodum (rose-grain aphid)
Lineage: Eukaryota; Metazoa; Arthropoda; Insecta; Hemiptera; Aphididae
Exons: 3
Source: RefSeq, a predicted model, not a curated record